GGCAUGAUAGUAUAGUGGUUAGCACGUUUGCCUUGCACCUCUGGGGUUGUGGGUUCAAAUCCUGCCCCUGCCC
Non-coding RNA from Pangasius djambal, 73 nucleotides. NCBI's taxonomy places the organism in Eukaryota, Metazoa, Chordata, Actinopteri, Siluriformes, Pangasiidae. The record is from the annotation of a GenBank genome assembly.